Chiloscyllium plagiosum (whitespotted bambooshark) is the source of this 1699-nucleotide non-coding RNA. The record is from RefSeq and is a predicted model, not a curated record. NCBI's taxonomy places the organism in Eukaryota, Metazoa, Chordata, Chondrichthyes, Orectolobiformes, Hemiscylliidae.
UGGAGAAUGCGGGUGUUCCACUCCUACCAAAUCGUGUGAUCUUUGGAUCAACGUAAUACUGAGGUCCUGGACUGCAGUUGACUUCGUACACUGUCAAGAGAGUGUAAAUACAUUAAAACUUCUUUUUUGUGUCUGCUUAAAUAUUUUGAAUUGGAACAUACUUCCAUAUUCUUCAUUUGUUAUAUCUUGCAGGAUAUGUUUGCGUUUUGAUUUAAUAUUGAUAAUGACAGUGCUUUUGCUAUCAAGAACUGAAAUAUUGGAAUGAUCUGCUCAAAAGUGGAUUAUAAAUCACUGUAGCAGGCACAGUUACUUGUCACAAAAAUAUUGCCUAUAAAUUAUCAUGUGGAAAAUUAACAUACAAUAACACAAUGUAGCCAUAUAAUUAAUUAUUGUGCCCAAAAUCUCCUUUAAAAUAACAGACAAAGUAAUUAUAGGCAUACAUUGUGCAGCCAGUAUAUAUACUAUAAUUUGCAGAGACAAAUGAAUUGUUUUUCAAAGUAAUACAAGUAAAUUAUUUGGAAGUUUCAAUGGAAUACAGAAUCCGUUAUUUAUAUAUUGUGAAAAGAACAUUUAUGUGAUAUACUCCUAAAAUGCUAAAGUAAAAUAUUUCAACUUCACAUUUGAAUAGUUCAAAGCAAUGGCUCGGUAGUUAUUUAGAUAUCCUUAGCUAGGUCAGUUCGAGUGACCAGCUCAAUUGUUAUCCUAUCAUUAUCUCAUACUAUUGCACAUACUGCCCAGACAAUGGACUUAGGGGUAUAGGUGAGUGUAGAUGUAUACUUGGACUCACACCCAUGUCCAUUAGGCAAAACAGCAGUCCCUGAUAGUAGCAAGAUGGUCCUGAUUCUGUUUAUCACAUUCUUAAAAAUUGCGAAUAGUAUUUCUAUAAGAACCAUUUUUACUAUUGACAUUUGGCACACAAUAGAAUCUCAAUAAUUAAGAGGAAGACUUUUUUUUACUGGAAAGAUUAUUGGCAGUAGAUUUGAAAUAUUAGUUAAUUUACUGAAGCAAUGACCUAUAUAUGUUUGCUGAUUCUUCCAUUCUUGUUUCCGAGCCUUGGGCCAUGGAUUGGUCCUCAUUAAUAGACAACUGCAAUGGUUCAUCAUUUCCUUCUGCAGGAUGGCUGACCAGAAAACUCUGCCACUCGUAUGGACAGUCAACUUGUUUGUUAAAGUUAUGAAUGCCCCUUCCACAGCCAGCAAGUCCAGACAUGGACCUGGAACCCAGAGUUUCUGGCCCAUAGCCUCCAGAAGUCAAGAUGAAACAAGCCCUGACCUGGCUUCUCAAGGACACUGGUUUCCCUUGAAUGUUAGGAAUCAAGUUUUCUAUUAACAGAGGAUAAGAAUUUCCAGCAUCUACAGUUGUUUUCUUGAAAAUGAGAGGCUUUGAGUGCAGACAGGGAGAUGGACAUACAGGGCUGGAGUAAGCCCAAAAGCAAGUGUUCUGCACAGCAGAGGCCUAGCACCCAGGAGCUAAACGGCAGCUUUACUCAGAUCUCCACAUCUGGCUAAAGAUGAGAGAAAAUGGAUUUGACAACAUCAAAACCAGGUGACGACUGACAAUGUGCCCAAUCCAAACUUGAAAUCUGACACAAAGACCUGUAAUGACCUGAUGUACAUUUCAAUUCAAACUACCAAAAGAGAAUGAAUUAAAAACACCUUCAAUGGGGAUUGGGCUUGUUGACAAGAUCAGCAAUUGCUGC